Molecule: ribosomal RNA, 460 nt
Filed under: uncultured bacterium
Lineage: Bacteria
Description: partial 16S ribosomal RNA
Rfam family: Bacterial small subunit ribosomal RNA
Source: RNAcentral
CCUACGGGUGGCAGCAGUGAGGAAUAUUGGUCAAUGGACGAGAGUCUGAACCAGCCAAGUAGCGUGAAGGAUGAAUGCUCUAUGGGUGGUAAACUUCAUUUAUAAAGGAAUAAAACGAGGCACGUGUGCAUUUUGGCAUGUACUUUAUGAAUAAGGAUCGGCUAACACCGUGCCAGCAGCAGCGGUAAUACGGAGGAUCCGAGCGUUAUGCGGAUUUAGUGGGUGUAAAGGGAGCGUAGAUGGGUUGUUAAGUCAGUUGUGAAAGUUUGCGGCGCAACCGUAAAAUUGCAAUUGAUACUGGCAGUCUUGAGGUCAGUUGAGGUAGGCGGAAUUCGUGGUGUAGCGGUGAAAUGCUUAGAUAUCACGAAGAACACCGAUUGCGAAGGCAGCUUACUAAACUGUGACUGACAUUGAUGCUCGAAAGUGUGGGUAUCAAACAGGAUUAGAUACCCUUGUAGUC